AGUGAACGCUGGCGGCAGGCCUAACACAUGCAAGUCGAACGGCAGCACAAGAGAUCUUGCUCUCUGGGUGGCGAGUGGCGGACGGGUGAGGAAUGCAUCGGAAUCUGCCCAUUUGUGGGGGAUAACCUCGGGAAACCGGUACUAAUACCGCAUACGACCUACGGGUGAAAGCAGGGGAUCUUCGGACCUUGCUCAGAUGGAUGAGCCGAUGCCGGAUUAGCUAGUUGGAGGGGUAAAGGCCCACCAAGGCGACGAUCCGUAGCUGGUCUGAGAGGAGGAUCAGCAAAACGGGGAGUGAGACCCGGCCAGGACUCUUAGGGGAGGCAGAAGUGGGGAAUAUGGGAAAAGGGGGGAAAGCUUGUUCAGGCCAGGCGGCGUGUGUGAAGAAGGCCUUCGGGUUGUAAAGCACUUUGUUGGGAAAGAAAAGCAGCCGGUUAAUACCCGGUUGUCAUGACGGUACCCAAAGAAUAAGCACCGGCUAACUUCGUG
Molecule: ribosomal RNA, 489 nt
Filed under: uncultured bacterium
Lineage: Bacteria
Description: partial 16S ribosomal RNA
Rfam family: Bacterial small subunit ribosomal RNA
Source: RNAcentral